Molecule: long non-coding RNA, 590 nt
Filed under: Nicotiana benthamiana
Lineage: Eukaryota; Viridiplantae; Streptophyta; Magnoliopsida; Solanales; Solanaceae
Description: long non-coding RNA (NBEN_LNC014536)
Source: RNAcentral
CAACGGUGAGUGGACAUCUGUUAAUCUUGCUCAUGAAUAAUCGGAGAAGAAUGACUAUCUUCCAGAACGAUGGGUGAAUCUGACCAAGGUGCACCUCGUACCUUUUGCAGAAAUGGAUGAACACUGGUUCCAACAAACCCAACAUAAAGGAAUAAGUGUAAUCACUUAACUAUCCCUUAACAUGGGUUGUGAUAUCUUCUCGGGACCGGGAACCACGCAUCUUUUCCGGCUCAGUUGUAGUCAAAGAUGUGUAUGAAGGGUCUCUUUGGUGAUUGAGCAAAUAUACCUCGAUACUUUAUCACCCCGUGAAGGAUUUUCAACUUUGAAGUCGAUGGUCACCGAGCACCCGCCAGGAAUAAACGCGCAAAGAGGAGCUUCCACCACUGGUUCCUUACCGGCCGGCCAUGAUGAAAAAACAGUUACUUUUUGAGGAAGUGUCUUAUAAGUAUUCGCCAUUUCCUUUUGAAUAAAGAUGAAGGAGGAGAAGUUAAAAGGGUACGUUUAAUGGUUUAAACAAGCAAGAGUUCUUACAAAGAUCUCAAGGAAUCUUGGUAUAAGUGCUAGAAAAUGCAAAGAUUUUUAAGAACAAG